UGGUAGUGUAUUGGACAACCAUGGCAGUCACGGGUAACGGAGAAUUAGGGUUCGAUUCCGGAGAGGGAGCCUGAGAAACGGCUACCACAUCUACGGAAGGCAGCAGGAGCGAAAAUUGCCCAAUCCCGACACGGGGAGGCAGUGACGAGAAAUAACAACUCUUGGUUAUUCUAAGAAGUGUAAUGAGGAUAAUUUAAAACCCUUACCGAAAGCAAUUGGAGGGCAAGUCUGGUGCCAGCAGCCGCGGUAAUUCCAGCUCCAAUAGCGUAUAUUAAAGUUGUUGCAGUUAAAAAGCUCGUAGUUGAAGUUCUGGCUGUUCGAUCCUCGAGCUCUGUAGCCGAGGACUCGACAGUCAUCCGCUUGCAAAUAUAUGUUCGCCUUUAACCGGGCGGCUAUAUGAGUAAGCAAUUUACCUUGAGAAAAACAGAGUGUUCCAGGCAGGUUUGUCCGGAAUGCAUUAGCAUGGAAUAAUAGAAUAUGACUGAAGUCGAUUUAUUGGUUUGAGGCUUUAGUAAUGAUUAAUAGGAACAGUCGGGGGCAUUGGUACUUGACAGUCAGAGGUGAAAUUCUAGGAUUUGUCAAAGACUAACAAAUGCGAAAGCAUUUGCCAAGGAUGUUUUCAUUAAUCAAGAACGAAAGUUAAGGGAUCAAAGACGAUCAGA
This 662-nucleotide ribosomal RNA is filed under the name uncultured ciliate. RNAcentral's name for it is "SSU rRNA". It matches the Rfam family "Eukaryotic small subunit ribosomal RNA", at positions 326 to 1012 of the family's 1831-position model. The record is from RNAcentral. Lineage: Eukaryota; Ciliophora.